GGUGGUAGCUCAGUGGAGAGCACUUGCCUGGCAUGUGGGAGGUACUGGGUUCGAUUCUCAGCACCA
Molecule: transfer RNA, 66 nt
Filed under: Marmota monax (woodchuck)
Lineage: Eukaryota; Metazoa; Chordata; Mammalia; Rodentia; Sciuridae
Also listed under: 3 other names
Rfam family: tRNA
About the family: Transfer RNA (tRNA) molecules are approximately 80 nucleotides in length. Their secondary structure includes four short double-helical elements and three loops (D, anti-codon, and T loops). Further hydrogen bonds mediate the characteristic L-shaped molecular structure. tRNAs have two regions of fundamental functional importance: the anti-codon, which is responsible for specific mRNA codon recognition, and the 3' end, to which the tRNAs corresponding amino acid is attached (by aminoacyl-tRNA synthetases). tRNAs cope with the degeneracy of the genetic code in two manners: having more than one tRNA (with a specific anti-codon) for a particular amino acid; and 'wobble' base-pairing, i.e. permitting non-standard base-pairing at the 3rd anti-codon position.
Source: Rfam by way of RNAcentral